RNAcentral lists this ribosomal RNA (421 nucleotides) under uncultured bacterium. RNAcentral's name for it is "bacterial SSU rRNA". It matches the Rfam family "Bacterial small subunit ribosomal RNA", at positions 356 to 774 of the family's 1533-position model. The record is from RNAcentral.
GAGGAAUAUUGGGCAAUGCCCGCAAGGGUGACCCAGCAACGCCGCGUGGAGGAUGAAUGUCGUAAGAUUGUAAACUCCUGUUAGAGGGGAAGAAUAGUACCGGUUGGACCGGUAUAUGACUGUACCCUCAGAGAAAGCCCCGGCUAACUACGUGCCAGCAGCCGCGGUAAUACGUAGGGGGCAAGCGUUGUCCGGAUUUACUGGGUGUAAAGGGCGCGCAGGCGGGAUAAAAAGUCAGUGGUGAGAUCCUACAGCUUAACUGUAGAACUGCCUCUGAUACUUUUAUUCUUGAGUUCGGGAGAGAGAGACGGAAUUCCAGGUGUAGUGGUGAAAUACGUAGAUAUCUGGAAGAACACCAGUUGCGAAGGCGGUCUCUUGGUCCGACACUGACGCUGAGGCGCGAAAGCGUGGGGAGCAAACA